This 459-nucleotide ribosomal RNA is filed under the name uncultured bacterium. RNAcentral describes it as "partial 16S ribosomal RNA". It matches the Rfam family "Bacterial small subunit ribosomal RNA", at positions 339 to 795 of the family's 1533-position model. The record is from RNAcentral.
CUACGGGAGGCAGCAGUGAGGAAUAUUGGUCAAUGGAGGCAACUCUGAACCAGCCAUGCCGCGUGAAGGAAGAAUGUCCUAUGGAUUGUAAACUUCUUUUAUUUGGGAAGAAACCCCCGCUCGUGAGCGGGGCUGACGGUACCAAACGAAUAAGGACCGGCUAACUCCGUGCCAGCAGCCGCGGUAAUACGGAGGGUCCAAGCGUUAUCCGGAAUCAUUGGGUUUAAAGGGUUCGCAGGCGGUUUAAUAAGUCAGUGGUGAAAUCUCUCGGCUCAACCGAGAAACUGCCAUUGAUACUGUUAGACUUGAAUAUAGUUGGAGUAGGCGGAAUGUGUAGUGUAGCGGUGAAAUGCUUAGAUAUUACACAGAACACCGAUAGCGAAGGCAGCUUACUAAACUAUUAUUGACGCUCAUGAACGAAAGCGUGGGGAGCGAACAGGAUUAGAUACCCUCGUAGUC